Molecule: ribosomal RNA, 444 nt
Filed under: uncultured bacterium
Lineage: Bacteria
Description: bacterial SSU rRNA
Rfam family: Bacterial small subunit ribosomal RNA
Source: RNAcentral
CCAGACUCCUACGGGAGGCAGCAGUGGGGGAUAUUGCACAAUGGAGGGAACUCUGAUGCAGCGACGCCGCGUGAGGGAAGAAGGUUUUCGGAUUGUAAACCUCUGUCUUCGGUGACGAAACGAGACGGUAGCCGAGGAGGAAGCCACGGCUAACUACGUGCCAGCAGCCGCGGUAAUACGUAGGUGGCAAGCGUUGUCCGGAAUUACUGGGUGUAAAGGGAGCGUAGGCGGGAAAGCAAGUUGAAUGUUUAAGGUACGGGCUCAACCUGUACAAGCGUUCAAAACUGUUUUUCUUGAGUGGAGUAGAGGUAAGCGGAAUUCCUAGUGUAGCGGUGAAAUGCGUAAAUAUUAGGAGGAACACCAGUGGCGAAGGCGGCUUACUGGGCUUUAACUGACGCUGAGGCUCGAAAGCGUGGGUAGCAAACAGGAUUAGAUACCCUAGUA